UCUUCCUCCUCUUUCCGCCUCUUUGAAGAAAACCCUAACUCUACCAAAAAAAAAAAAAAUUCCAGAGAAACAAAUCGACUUCAUCUUCAUUAUUUUUUUCAUCAUACGAUUCGAAGAACCCUGAUCUCUUUUCUUUUGCUUAUGAUGCAUAACCCUAGUCCCUCAUUCUGUUAAAAACAUGUUUUCUGCUGGAAAAAAGUUUGUUGUUGACUGAAUCAUAGAGGAGUUUUUUGUUGAAACGAGAUCCACAAGAUGAUGUUGCUGGUGUUCAAUUAGAAGAUAAUGAAUCUGAAGAGAUCGAUGGGGCUUAACGCCUGAUUCAAGAGUUCACUAAUUUUGGAAUGAAAUUUGGGAGUUCUGGUGCAAUCGUAGCUAAGAUUUGAAUCAGUUCGAGUCAGGAAUGAUCACGAAGAGAUCUGAAAUUCAAUUUCACAUCGAAAUUAGCAAAAACUUAUUGAAGGAGAGGAUUUGAAGCUGGAUGGAUUUGGAAACUAGGGUCUGAAUUAGCAGAAGGGUUUGAACAAGAAAUUGCAGCUGAUGAAUAAAAUGAAGAUUUAGUUGUGAAGUGAAUCUGAGAUGUCUGAAGUUGGAUAACAACUGAAGAUGAAGGAGAUGCUACUGUAUUAUGAUGGGGGUUCUGAAACUAGGGUUUGAGUUGGUGUUUGAACUGGUGGAAGAGGUGGUUGCUGAGAUGGUGUUUUAGAGAUGGGUAUGCUGGUAGUGAUUAUGAACUGGUGCUGAAGGUUCGGAGUGACUAGAUGAAUGUGAGGUUGUUAUUACAGGGUUAAUUGUGCUCGAAGGAUUAAUGGAGGAGAAGAACAAGCAGCUGGAGAUGGAUGGGUUUUGGUUUGUGAAUGGUAUUGAGUUCAGAGUUGCAGGUGCAGGUAAUUUCAUUAAGAGAUUUUAAUUAGAAGAUGCUUGCUGCUGGUGUUUAAUUAGAAGAUAAUGAAUCUGAAGAUAACAAUAGAUCAUGUUGGGAAGAUGAAGGAACUCUUAGAAAGCUGGUUACGGAGAUUCAAAAAGUAGAGGAGGAAGAUGAAAGCUAUAUGGAUGGUGAAAGCGAAGACCAAACCUAAGGUUCCAUGGAUGGCAUCCAAACUACAAGGCCAGUUUGUUGCAGUGGUUUAGAAAUUAGGAGGAAUUCAAAAUGUUGAAGUUCAUCCCAACAUACGUACUCAAUUCUGGAGUCCAGAGCACUGGCCAAAACAUGUUCUUGUCAGAUAGAUACACAUGGGAGGAGCACUCUGAGAUUGAUGUUCCAGCUGGUUUCUACGUAUUGUUUGGAUCAGAAGAUGAUGCUGAUAAAAUUCUUUAAAGUCAUGUAUUUCCCACCUGGACUCACCCAGAAACAUGCUGACAUUCACCUGACGGUCUUGUUUCUUGCACAAAAGUUGUACUUUUUCUUUUAAUGCUUAUAGUGGCGGCGAGCAGGAUCUAUGUGAAUAGCUGCUGAAAUCAAUUGUAUUACUUUACAAGGAUCUGGCUGCUUUUGAAGUUCUUACUCAUGUUAGUAAGCAUUUGCAUUUCUUUUCUUAGCUAGGUAAUUUGAAGUUACCCAGGUAAUGCAAUUGGAGUGGCAGAUUAACUUUAUGAAUGUAAAUGUAAAUUACUUUUGGCAAUUCAGUUUCAGCCCUAAUUUUUUUU
This is a long non-coding RNA of Papaver somniferum (opium poppy), 1644 nucleotides long. RefSeq lists it as uncharacterized. The transcript has 5 exons. The record is from RefSeq and is a predicted model, not a curated record. Lineage: Eukaryota; Viridiplantae; Streptophyta; Magnoliopsida; Ranunculales; Papaveraceae.